CCCUGGGUGGUGCAAAUGGUUAGCACAUUCAGCUGCUAACCAAAAGGUUGGCAGUUUGAGUCUGCCCAGAGGCA
RNAcentral lists this transfer RNA (74 nucleotides) under Loxodonta africana (African savanna elephant). It matches the Rfam family "tRNA". From Rfam's summary of the family: Transfer RNA (tRNA) molecules are approximately 80 nucleotides in length. The record is from Rfam by way of RNAcentral. Lineage: Eukaryota; Metazoa; Chordata; Mammalia; Proboscidea; Elephantidae.